GAUGAACGCUGGCGGCGUGCUUAACACAUGCAAGUCGAACGGUGAACCCGGAGCUUGCUCUGUGGGAUCAGUGGCGAACGGGUGAGUAACACGUGAGCAACCUGCCCCUGACUCUGGGAUAAGCGCUGGAAACGGCGUCUAAUACUGGAUAUGUGACGUGACCGCAUGGUCUGCGUUUGGAAAGAUUUUUCGGUUGGGGAUGGGCUCGCGGCCUAUCAGCUUGUUGGUGAGGUAAUGGCUCACCAAGGCGUCGACGGGUAGCCGGCCUGAGAGGGUGACCGGCCACACUGGGACUGAGAGACGGCCCAGAGUCCUACGGGAGGCAGCAGUGGGGAAUAUUGCACAAUGGGCGCAAGCCUGAUGCAGCAACGCCGCGUGAGGGAUGACGGCCUUCGGGUUGUAAACCUCUUUUAGCAGGGAAGAAGCGAAAGUGACGGUACCUGCAGAAAAAGCGCCGGCUAACUACGUG
This 469-nucleotide ribosomal RNA is filed under the name uncultured bacterium. RNAcentral's name for it is "partial 16S ribosomal RNA". It matches the Rfam family "Bacterial small subunit ribosomal RNA", at positions 28 to 507 of the family's 1533-position model. The record is from RNAcentral.